AUUUUAUACCUUUUUUACUCCUGUUAACCUGCGAAAUUUUUCAUCAUCUAACUCUUCUGCUAUUUUCACCUUUUCCCUCACUCAAAACCCACCAUUUUACUCUCUUUUUAACUUUAUUCUAGUUUCGAAAGAGGUUCAUUGACGCAAGAGUCUGGAAUCCUUCAUUUCAUUAAAUUUAGCAUAAGCUCAGUUUGCUUGUAAAUUUUUCUGGAUG
Non-coding RNA from Cinara cedri, 214 nucleotides. Lineage: Eukaryota; Metazoa; Arthropoda; Insecta; Hemiptera; Aphididae. The record is from the annotation of a GenBank genome assembly.